This 21-nucleotide non-coding RNA is filed under the name Arabidopsis thaliana (thale cress). Lineage: Eukaryota; Viridiplantae; Streptophyta; Magnoliopsida; Brassicales; Brassicaceae. The record is from RNAcentral.
CAUAAAAGAGGGAUGCAACAC